UACGUAGGCAGCAAGCGUUGUUCGGAGUUACUGGGCGUAAAGGGUGUGUAGGCGGUUCUUUAAGUUUGGGGUGAAAUCUCCCGGCUUAACCGGGAGGGUGCGCCGAAUACUGAGGGACUAGAGUACGGGAGAGGAAAGUGGAAUUCCUGGUGUAGCGGUGAAAUGCGUAGAUAUCAGGAGGAACACCGGUGGUGUAGACGGCUUUCUGGACCGUAACUGACGCUGAGACACGAAAGCGUGGGUAGCAAACAGG
This 253-nucleotide ribosomal RNA is filed under the name uncultured bacterium. Its description in RNAcentral is "partial 16S ribosomal RNA". It matches the Rfam family "Bacterial small subunit ribosomal RNA", at positions 524 to 776 of the family's 1533-position model. The record is from RNAcentral.